AUUGAACGCUGGCGGUAUGCCUUACACAUGCAAGUCGAACGGCAGCACGGGGGCAACCCUGGUGGCGAGUGGCGAACGGGUGAGUAAUGCAUCGGAACGUGCCCAGUAGUGGGGGAUAGCUCGGCGAAAGCCGAAUUAAUACCGCAUACGUACUGAGGUAGAAAGCGGGGGAUCCGCGAGGACCUCGCGCUAUUGGAGCGGCCGAUGUCGGAUUAGCUUGUUGGUGGGGUAAAGGCCUACCAAGGCGACGAUCCGUAACUGGUCUGAGAGGACGACCAGUCACACUGGGACUGAGACACGGCCCAGACUCCUACGGGAGGCAGCAGUGGGGAAUUUUGGACAAUGGGCGAAAGCCUGAUCCAGCAAUGCCGCGUGUGUGAAGAAGGCCUUCGGGUUGUAAAGCACUUUUGUCCGGAAAGAAAUCCGCCUGGCCAAUACCCGGGCGGGAUGACGGUACCGGAAGAAUAAGCACCGGCUAACUACGUG
RNAcentral lists this ribosomal RNA (486 nucleotides) under uncultured bacterium. RNAcentral's name for it is "bacterial SSU rRNA". It matches the Rfam family "Bacterial small subunit ribosomal RNA", at positions 29 to 507 of the family's 1533-position model. The record is from RNAcentral.